UGAAGAUCGCCAUCUCAGAGGCCGAGCAGUCUGGGGCUGCUGAGGGCACUGCGUCUGUCAGCCCCCGGCCCCCAAUCCGCCAGUGGCGAACUCAGGACCACAAUACCCCAGCACCUCUCCCUAAGCCCUCUCUGGGCCGAAGCUACUCCUGCCCUGAUCUGGGGCCCCCUGGCCCAGGUUGGGUUCAACCAAAGGGAAGGAGCCAAGAGCCUCAAAGGACCAGGUGCUUUCAGACCCUGAGACCAAGACCACGGGAAAGGUUUCUCGAUUCAGAAUACGCAGAACACCAGCCCGUCCUCAGCUAAACCUUACACCAAUGGGACUGCCUCGACCAAUCAGGUUGAACAAGAAAGAGUUCAGCUUGGAAGAAAUUUACACCAACAAGAAUUACCAAUCACCCACAACCAGGAGGUGAGACAC
RNAcentral lists this small RNA (420 nucleotides) under Pan troglodytes (chimpanzee). RNAcentral describes it as "processed transcript". The record is from RNAcentral. Lineage: Eukaryota; Metazoa; Chordata; Mammalia; Primates; Hominidae.